CCUACGGGAGGCAGCAGUAGGGAAUCUUGCGCAAUGGGCGAAAGCCUGACGCAGCCAUGCCGCGUGAAUGAUGGAGGUCUUAGGAUUGUAAAAUUCUUUCACCGGGGACGAUAAUGACGGUACCCGGAGAAGAAGCCCCGGCUAACUUCGUGCCAGCAGCCGCGGUAAUACGAAGGGGGCUAGCGUUGCUCGGAAUUACUGGGCGUAAAGGGAGCGUAGGCGGAUAGUUUAGUCAGAGGUGAAAGCCCAGGGCUCAACCUUGGAACUGCCUUUGAUACUGGCUAUCUUGAGUAUGGGAGAGGUGAGUGGAACUCCGAGUGUAGAGGUGAAAUUCGUAGAUAUUCGGAAGAACACCAGUGGCGAAGGCGACUCACUGGCCCAUUACUGACGCUGAGGCUCGAAAGCGUGGGGAGCAAACAGGAUUAGAUACCCUGGUAGUCCACGCCGUAAACGAUGAGUGCUAGUUGUCGGCAUGCAUGCAUGUCGGUGACGCAGCUACGCAUAGCACUCCGCCGUCGGGAGGUACGGUCGCGAAGAAUUAAACUACGAAAGAAGUAGACGGCGUGAGACGUGCCGAACGGACGACGACGACGGGAGGAGG
Molecule: ribosomal RNA, 601 nt
Filed under: uncultured bacterium
Lineage: Bacteria
Description: bacterial SSU rRNA
Rfam family: Bacterial small subunit ribosomal RNA (bases 1-514)
Source: RNAcentral